AGUGAACGCUGGCGGUAGACCUAACACAUGCAAGUCGAACGGCAGCACAGUAAGAGCUUGCUCUUACGGGUGGCGAGUGGCGGACGGGUGAGGAAUACAUCGGAAUCUACUUUUUCGUGGGGGAUAACGUAGGGAAACUUACGCUAACACCGCAUACGACCUACGGGUGAAAGCAGGGGAUCUUCGGACCUUGCGCGAUUGAAUGAGCCGAUGUCGGAUUAGCUAGUUGGCGGGGUAAAGGCCCACCAAGGCGACGAUCCGUAGCUGGUCUGAGAGGAUGGUCGGCCACACUGGAACUGAGACACGGUCCAGACUCCUGCGGGAGGCAGCAGUGGGGAAUAUUGGACAAUGGGCGCAAGCCUGAUCCAGCCAUACCGCGUGGGAGAAGAAGGCCUUCGGGUUGUAAAGCCCUUUUGUUGGGAAAGAAAAGCAGCAGGUUAAUACCCAGCUGUUCUGACGGUACCCAAAGAAUAAGCACCGGCUAACUUCGUG
This 492-nucleotide ribosomal RNA is filed under the name uncultured bacterium. Its description in RNAcentral is "partial 16S ribosomal RNA". It matches the Rfam family "Bacterial small subunit ribosomal RNA", at positions 29 to 507 of the family's 1533-position model. The record is from RNAcentral.